AAAGACCAUUUAAAUUAUCACUGUCAUCCAUUUCAGUGAGGUCUAUGUGCGUGUAUUAUUUACAGAUCAUUCUUCAAACUGCUAAUAAGUUGGGUACGGUCACGGGAUCGAGAGAUAAGAUCUUCUCACGCAGCCCGUGGAAGUCGAUGGGGUUCGGUGGUGUGCUCUUACCUGCAAGCUUUGCUUUGCUUCUGAGUCACUUUGACUUCAGAUUAGCCAUUACCUUUUGCAGUCCCAAGGCAACUGCAUCUACGUGGUGGGGUCUGCGAGGAGGGACGCUCUGCGAAACACCCUUUGGACCCAGUGGCUCUAAAGAACUUGUGAAUUGGAUGAAGUGCUGUGAUUCCCCAGCAGGGCAACAGAGAAGACCUACGGCAGCUUCUUAUCAUCUUCACUGGCAUCUUUCCCUAAAAGACAUUAAAUGGUUUUUUUUAUUGUUUUGUUUUGGUUUUUUUUUUUUUUUUUCCCAGAACUGGUUGUGGUAACAGUGCAGGAAUGCAAAUAAACAAGUAAAAGUCAUUCUAAUCA
Molecule: long non-coding RNA, 528 nt
Filed under: Anser brachyrhynchus (Pink-footed goose)
Lineage: Eukaryota; Metazoa; Chordata; Aves; Anseriformes; Anatidae
Description: lncRNA (ENSABRG00000010836.1)
Source: RNAcentral